RNAcentral lists this ribosomal RNA (497 nucleotides) under uncultured bacterium. Its description in RNAcentral is "partial 16S ribosomal RNA". It matches the Rfam family "Bacterial small subunit ribosomal RNA", at positions 28 to 507 of the family's 1533-position model. The record is from RNAcentral.
GAUGAACGCUGGCGGCGUGCCUAAUACAUGCAAGUCGAGCGAACAGACGAGGAGCGUGUUCCUCUGAUGUUAGCGGCGGACGGGUGAGUAACACGUGGAUAACCUACCUAUAAGACUGGGAUAAUUUCGGGAAACCGGAGCUAAUACCGGAUAACAUGUUGAACCGCAUGGUUCAACAGUGAAAGACGGUCUUGCUGUCACUUAUAGAUGGAUCCGCGCCGCAUUAGCUAGUUGGUAAGGUAACGGCUUACCAAGGCAACGAUGCGUAGCCGACCUGAGAGGGUGAUCAGCCACACUGGAACUGAGACACGGUCCAGACUCCUACGGGAGGCAGCAGUAGGGAAUCUUCCGCAAUGGGCGAAAGCCUGACGGAGCCACGCCGCGUGAGUGAAGAAGGUCUUCGGAUCGUAAAGCUCUGUUAUUAGGGAAGAACAAAUGUGUAAGUAACUAUGCACGUCUUGACGGUACCUAAUCAGAAAGCCCCGGCUAACUACGUG